UACAGAGGUUGCAAGCGUUAAUCGGAAUUACUGGGCGUAAAGCGCGCGUAGGUGGCAAGUUAAGUCGGAUGUGCAAUCCCUGGGCUCAACCCAGGAACUGCAUCCGAGACUGGAAGGCUAGAGUACUGGAGAGGGUGGUGGAAUUCCUCGUGUAGCGGUGAAAUGCGUAGAGAUGAGGAGGAACACCAGUGGCGAAGGCGGCCACCUGGACAGUAACUGACGCUGAGGCGCGAAAGCGUGGGUAGCAAACAGG
This 253-nucleotide ribosomal RNA is filed under the name uncultured bacterium. RNAcentral's name for it is "partial 16S ribosomal RNA". It matches the Rfam family "Bacterial small subunit ribosomal RNA", at positions 524 to 776 of the family's 1533-position model. The record is from RNAcentral.